UCUAAUAUGGCAGAUUAGUGCAAUGGAUUUAAGCUCCAUAUAUAAAGUAAUUAACUUUUAUUAGAA
RNAcentral lists this transfer RNA (66 nucleotides) under Cladodiopsis seyrigi. RNAcentral's name for it is "tRNA-Leu". Lineage: Eukaryota; Metazoa; Arthropoda; Insecta; Diptera; Diopsidae. The record is from RNAcentral. RNAcentral also lists the same sequence under 1 other name.